UGGCUCUGGCAUCGAUGAAGAACGCAGCGAAAUGCGAUAAGUAGUGUGAAUUGCAGGCUUUAGUGAAUCAUCGAAUCUUUGAACGCACAUUGCGCCCCUUGGUACUCCACUGGGCAUGCCUGUUUGAGCGUCAUCUACAUCCUCGAGCGACGCUCGGUGUUGGGCGCCUGUCCGCCGCGCGGCGGACUCGCCUCGAAGCCAUUGGCGGCGAUCCGGCCAGCUCCCCACGCAGCGCACGCGUCUUGGGGUCAGCUCUGGCGGGAUCCGCAACCACCAAGCACCACUAGGUCUGACCUCAAAUCAGGUAGGGAUACCCGCUGA
This 321-nucleotide unclassified non-coding RNA is filed under the name uncultured fungus. RNAcentral describes it as "partial contains 5.8S ribosomal RNA and internal transcribed spacer 2". The stretch from base 1 to 133 matches the Rfam family "5.8S ribosomal RNA", at positions 22 to 154 of the family's 154-position model. The record is from RNAcentral. Lineage: Eukaryota; Fungi.